This is a long non-coding RNA of Bos taurus (domestic cattle), 410 nucleotides long. The record is from Ensembl. NCBI's taxonomy places the organism in Eukaryota, Metazoa, Chordata, Mammalia, Artiodactyla, Bovidae.
AUUCUUAUCCAAAAAUCACAUAUAGCUGGAAGGCUUCCUGUCCAGAUUUGAAUGUUGCUGCAGGAUUAAACGAGACAGCGUGUCAAGUGCCUCGCUCCGUGCGUGCUUCUCCCGGCUUUUUCCCGGGCGAUCAAAGCUAGCGGUGGGGGCUGUGGCAACUCUCUGACCCACAUCCAGGUGUGAGUAAGAACCGUGACCUUCUGUUGCUUGGGACACUGUCAGAUCCUCAGAAGCAGGAAACAGAGUCGGUUAAGAGGUCAAGUGACACAGCAGAUCAUCAGUAUACCUCCAGGUUCCAAAUCUGUGUUCUGGCUCAGCGUAGACACGAGGCUCCUAGAGCCGACAGGGACCUUGGUGUGAAGCAUCUCCUGAGCUACUUCCAGCAUACUCAGCAUCUCUGGAAUCUGACU